GAUGUUUGGAGAAAGAUGGUACAAGUUGCUGUAAAUCGAAGUUUUAAUCAAAUUACUGUCGAUGGAGACACUAGUACAAAUGAUGCUGUCAUUGCUCUUGCCAGUGGACUUUCAGAAUCACAUGAGAUUUCUUCUUUGAACUCCUCGGAGGCAGAACACCUACAAAACUGCCUUGAUGCUGUAAUGCAGGGUCUAGCAAAAUCAAUAGCUUGGGAUGGCGAAGGAGCAACAUGUUUGAUUGAGGUGAGGGUUGAUGGUGCUGAUAACGAAGCUGAAGCAGCAAAGAUUGCACGUUCAG
This 298-nucleotide unclassified non-coding RNA is filed under the name Hevea brasiliensis (rubber tree). Lineage: Eukaryota; Viridiplantae; Streptophyta; Magnoliopsida; Malpighiales; Euphorbiaceae. The record is from RNAcentral.